Molecule: small RNA, 110 nt
Filed under: Caenorhabditis brenneri
Lineage: Eukaryota; Metazoa; Nematoda; Chromadorea; Rhabditida; Rhabditidae
Description: snRNA CBN33763
Rfam family: SL2 RNA
About the family: This family represents SL2 RNA.
Source: Rfam by way of RNAcentral
GGAUUUAUCCCAGUUACUCAAGGUAAGCUGUCGUUUCGAACUCUCGAAAGAGUGUGUCGAAUAACUAAAAUUUUUGGAAACGCUUCUUCGGGGUUAUCCGGAGAGGCAAA